Molecule: transfer RNA, 76 nt
Filed under: Neomoorella mulderi
Lineage: Bacteria; Bacillati; Bacillota; Clostridia; Neomoorellales; Neomoorellaceae
Also listed under: 3 other names
Description: tRNA-Ala
Rfam family: tRNA
About the family: Transfer RNA (tRNA) molecules are approximately 80 nucleotides in length. Their secondary structure includes four short double-helical elements and three loops (D, anti-codon, and T loops).
Source: RNAcentral
GGGCGUGUAGCUCAGUUGGGAGAGCGCUAGAAUCGCACUCUAGAGGUCAGGGGUUCGAAUCCCCUCACGUCCACCA